This 274-nucleotide long non-coding RNA is filed under the name Populus trichocarpa (black cottonwood). RNAcentral describes it as "long non-coding RNA (PTRI_LNC000838)". The record is from RNAcentral. Lineage: Eukaryota; Viridiplantae; Streptophyta; Magnoliopsida; Malpighiales; Salicaceae.
AAUUAUUACAACAAGAUAUUCAAGUUUACUUCGUGAAGCAGAUCAAACAUAUCAGAUCAAAGAAUUGGAACCAGAUGAGGCCCUUCAGCUUUUCAGCUGGCAUGCCUUUAAGGACACCAGCUGGCAUGCCUUUAAGGACACCAAGCCAGCAGAAGAUUAUAUUGAGCUUUCAAAGAAAGCAGUUGAUUACUGUGGAGGACUUCCUUUAGCUCUUGAGGUUAUAGGAGCUCUUCUGUACGGGAAAGAAAAACAUAGAUGGGAAAGUGAAAUUGAC